RNAcentral lists this ribosomal RNA (483 nucleotides) under uncultured bacterium. RNAcentral describes it as "bacterial SSU rRNA". It matches the Rfam family "Bacterial small subunit ribosomal RNA", at positions 28 to 507 of the family's 1533-position model. The record is from RNAcentral.
GAUGAACGCUAGCGGCAGGCCUAACACAUGCAAGUCGAACGGUAACAGGCCUUCGGGCGCUGACGAGUGGCGGACGGGUGAGUAACGCGUGGGAAUCUGCCUAGUAGUGGGGGACAACCUGGGGAAACUCAGGCUAAUACCGCAUACGCCCUACGGGGGAAAGCAGGGGAUCUUCGGACCUUGCGCUAUUAGAUGAGCCUGCGUCGGAUUAGCUUGUUGGUGGGGUAAAGGCCUACCAAGGCGACGAUCCGUAGCUGGUUUGAGAGGACGAUCAGCCACACUGGGACUGAGACACGGCCCAGACUCCUACGGGAGGCAGCAGUAGGGAAUCUUCCGCAAUGGACGAAAGUCUGACGGAGCAACGCCGCGUGAGUGAUGAAGGUUUUCGGAUCGUAAAGUUCUGUUAUGAGGGAAGAACAAGUGCCGUUCGAAUAGGGCGGCACCUUGACGGUACCUCACGAGAAAGCCCCGGCUAACUACGUG